Mustela erminea (ermine) is the source of this 1155-nucleotide long non-coding RNA. RefSeq lists it as uncharacterized. Lineage: Eukaryota; Metazoa; Chordata; Mammalia; Carnivora; Mustelidae. The record is from RefSeq and is a predicted model, not a curated record. The transcript has 6 exons.
GGUGACAUCUGUCUGGCAGUAUGCUGGGGACAUGACUUUCACUGCCCUUCCUGAGUGGUUGUAUCAACGAGGGUGCUCAGGUUUUUGCACCCAGAGGUUGCGGAAAUUCUGGGUGCCACAGAGAUCGGCAUGUGGUGCCUCUAGACUUCUCCAUGGAAGAUUUCUUUUUCAGAGAUCUGACAAAGUCUCGGUCUGACAGCAGAGGGAACCUCAAAUGCCUCACUGUAGCCAGGUAAAAACUGGAUAUCCCUGGACAUGGUUCCGCUCUUGCAGACCAAGACAUUAAGGGUUGAUCAGGAAUUUAAGAAAUUGUUAUAUCAAGAGGAAACAAUCUUCACAUAAUUACCACACAGAAAUUGCUCCUGGAGCCAAAUAAACUGGAGAAAAGACUAUUUGAAACAGGCUACCCAAGUUCAGAUACAUGCUCAAUGACUAAAGAAGAGCUGACACUCAGGGAGCCACAGACUCUUAAGUGCACUUUGACCAUCUGCUAAUGUAUUCUGCCACAAUCUUCUCAGCCUCAUUUGACAGAGGAGGAAAUGAAGGCCUACAGAGAUUGAUUAAUUUGAUGAAGUCAUAUUUCAAGCAAGGGGCAGGGCCUAAAACUGAAACCUCGCAGUCUGACUCUGGAGCCUCUGUGCCUAACCCCCAAUUUCACUGCCUGAAAUGUUCAUGCAUUGGAUGGCUGGAUGGCUACCUCUGAAGAAUCAAAAUAAAAUAAUGCAAAACAACAAAAAUCAGCCAGUGGAGGAAAGGAAAUUAUGGUCCCUUUCUGGGUUAUGAAGAGAGAUGAAAAGGUGAAGAAGUGUUAAAAUGACUAAGCAAAAACUAAGCAAAAAAUAUGAGGCCUGUUUCCUGCAAGGAUUGGUUUCCUUAUCUGUGAGGCCUGAUGGGUGUCAUUCAGCUGCUGCCCCGCCCGUGUUCCUUGUGGAGUGGCAGCUGAGAGAACAUGCAUUUUGGGUGCAGAAGGUCAACAGAAGGGAAAUUGUUAAACAAACAAAAAACCCUCAUGUGAGCAUGGGACAUGUGUGGUCUUCUGCUCUAUGGUAAAUUCAUAUUUGCUAUAUUCCCUCUGCCUAUCAAAAUUUUGAAAUAGUGAUUGAAAAGAAGAAGAUGAAGGAGGAGGAGGAGAAGGCAAAAGAGGAAGAGGAGAAA